Triticum aestivum (bread wheat) is the source of this 115-nucleotide non-coding RNA. Lineage: Eukaryota; Viridiplantae; Streptophyta; Magnoliopsida; Poales; Poaceae. The record is from Rfam.
AAAGUACUCCCUCCGUUCCAAAUUACUCGUCGAUGAAAUGGAUGUAUUUAGAACUAAAAUACAUCUAGAUACAUCCAUACGUGCGACAAGUAAUUCGGAACGGAGGGAGUAUAUC